GACGAACGCUGGCGGCGUGCCUAACACAUGCAAGUCGUACGGAGUUCACUUGGAAGCUUGCUUCCGAGUGAACUUAGUGGCGGACGGGUGAGUAACGCGUGAGCAACCUGCCUCACAGAGGGGGAUAACACACGGAAACGUGUGCUAAUACCGCAUAAUCCGAUGAAGCGGCAUCGCUUUAUCGGCAAAGGAGCAAUCCGCUGUGAGAUGGGCUCGCGUCCGAUUAGAUAGUUGGUGAGGUAACGGCUCACCAAGUCUACGAUCGGUAGCCGGACUGAGAGGUUGGACGGCCACAUUGGGACUGAGACACGGCCCAAACUCCUACGGGAGGCAGCAGUGAGGGAUAUUGCACAAUGGGCGAAAGCCUGAUGCAGCGACGCCGCGUGAGGGAUGACGGUCUUCGGAUUGUAAACCUCUGUCCUUGGUGAAGAAGAAAGUGACGGUAGCCAAGGAGGAAGCCACGGCUAACUACGUGCCAGCAGCCC
This 485-nucleotide ribosomal RNA is filed under the name uncultured bacterium. RNAcentral's name for it is "bacterial SSU rRNA". It matches the Rfam family "Bacterial small subunit ribosomal RNA", at positions 28 to 517 of the family's 1533-position model. The record is from RNAcentral.